AGAGUUUGAUCAUGGCUCAGGACGAGCGCUGGCGGCGUGCUUAACACAUGCAAGUGGAGCGACGAACCGGGCUUCGGCCCGGGGCAAAGCCGCGAACGGGUGAGUAACACGUGGGUGACCUGCCCCAAUGACUGGGACAACCCGGGGAAACCCGGGCUAAUACCGGAUGACCUCUCUGGCCUACGGGCCGUUGAGAAAAGAUAGCUUCGGCCUCCGCAUUGGGAGGGGCUCGCGGCCAUUAGCUUGUUGGUGGGGUCAAGGCCUACCAAGGCGACGAUGGGUAGCUGGUCUGAGAGGACGAUCAGCCACACUGGGACUGAGACACGGCCCAGACUCCUACGGGAGGCAGCAGUGGGGAAUCUUGCGCAAUGCGCGAAAGCGUGACGCAGCAACGCCGCGUGGGGGAAGACGGCCUUCGGGUUGUAAACCCCUUUCAGGAGGGACGAAGGUUCGGCGGUUAAUAGCCGUCCGGACUGACGGUACCUCCAGAAGAAGCUCCGGCUAACUACGUGCCAGCCGCCGCGGUAAUAC
This 531-nucleotide ribosomal RNA is filed under the name uncultured bacterium. RNAcentral describes it as "bacterial SSU rRNA". It matches the Rfam family "Bacterial small subunit ribosomal RNA", at positions 8 to 526 of the family's 1533-position model. The record is from RNAcentral.